AAUAGAUACCCGGGUAGUCCACGCCGUAAACGAUGAGUGCUAAGUGUUAGAGGGUUUCCGCCCUUUAGUGCUGCAGCUAACGCAUUAAGCACUCCGCCUGGGGAGUACGGCCGCAAGGCUGAAACUCAAAGGAAUUGACGGGGGCCCGCACAAGCGGUGGAGCAUGUGGUUUAAUUCGAAGCAACGCGAAGAACCUUACCAGGUCUUGACAUCCUCUGACCUCCCUGGAGACAGGGCCUUCCCCUUCGGGGGACAGAGUGACAGGUGGUGCAUGGUUGUCGUCAGCUCGUGUCGUGAGAUGUUGGGUUAAGUCCCGCAACGAGCGCAACCCUUGACCUUAGUUGCCAGCAUUGAGUUGGGCACUCUAAGGUGACUGCCGGUGACAAACCGGAGGAAGGUGGGGAUGACGUCAAAUCAUCAUGCCCCUUAUGACCUGGGCUACACACGUGCUACAAUGGAUGGUACAAAGGGCUGCGAGACCGCGAGGUUAAGCCAAUCCCAGAAAACCAUUCCCAGUUCGGAUUGCAGGCUGCAACCCCG
RNAcentral lists this ribosomal RNA (540 nucleotides) under uncultured bacterium. RNAcentral describes it as "bacterial SSU rRNA". It matches the Rfam family "Bacterial small subunit ribosomal RNA", at positions 777 to 1314 of the family's 1533-position model. The record is from RNAcentral.